This 468-nucleotide ribosomal RNA is filed under the name uncultured bacterium. Its description in RNAcentral is "partial 16S ribosomal RNA". It matches the Rfam family "Bacterial small subunit ribosomal RNA", at positions 28 to 507 of the family's 1533-position model. The record is from RNAcentral.
GACGAACGCUGGCGGCGUGCUUAACACAUGCAAGUCGAACGGAAAGGCCCUGCUUUUGUGGGGUGCUCGAGUGGCGAACGGGUGAGUAACACGUGAGUAACCUGCCCUUGACUUUGGGAUAACUUCAGGAAACUGGGGCUAAUACCGGAUAGGAGCUCCUGCUGCAUGGUGGGGGUUGGAAAGUUUCGGCGGUUGGGGAUGGACUCGCGGCUUAUCAGCUUGUUGGUGGGGUAGUGGCUUACCAAGGCUUUGACGGGUAGCCGGCCUGAGAGGGUGACCGGCCACAAUGGGACUGCGAUAGGGCGCAGAAUCCUACGGGAGGCAGCAGGGGGGAAUAUUGCACAAUGGGCGGAAGCGUGAUGCAGCAACGCCGCGUGCGGGAUGACGGCCUUCGGGGUGUAAACCGCUUUCGCCUGUGACGAAGCGUGAGUGACGGUAAUGGGUAAAGAAGCACCGGCUAACUACGUG